RNAcentral lists this transfer RNA (74 nucleotides) under Pedobacter nyackensis. It matches the Rfam family "tRNA". Rfam says of the family: Transfer RNA (tRNA) molecules are approximately 80 nucleotides in length. Lineage: Bacteria; Pseudomonadati; Bacteroidota; Sphingobacteriia; Sphingobacteriales; Sphingobacteriaceae. The record is from Rfam by way of RNAcentral.
CGGGGUGUAGCGUAGUCCGGUAUAGUGUAUGCUUUGGGAGCAGGAGGUCACUGGUUCGAAUCUUGCCUCCCCGA